Molecule: small nucleolar RNA, 77 nt
Organism: Aquila chrysaetos chrysaetos
Lineage: Eukaryota; Metazoa; Chordata; Aves; Accipitriformes; Accipitridae
Gene: SNORD58
Rfam family: Small nucleolar RNA SNORD58
About the family: snoRNA U58 is found in introns 1, 3 and 6 of the ribosomal protein RPL17 gene in humans.
Source: Ensembl
UUGCUGUGAUGACUUAUCUUAGGACACCUUUGGAAUACCCAUGAAAAAAAAAAAAAAGGAAGUUAUUUCUGAGCAAC